ACAUCUCUCUCUCUCUAUCUCUCUCCCGACCCACCAUUCUAUAUCAUAUAUCCCUAAGCACUAUAUAUUGUCUCCCAUCAACCUCGUCUCCACACCAAAGUUGUUUUUUAUGUUCUUUGGGGGUCUUGACCCUGUGGGUGAUGUUGGUUCUUUAGGGUUACAUAUGGGUCGUUUGUGAUAGGUUUGAGAGAGAUAUGGUUCUUGACCUUUUUUUUCUUUUAAAUGUUUUUGGAUGGUUUUGAUUUUUGUGUAUAGGGUUCAGCUGGUUGUUGCAGUUGUGCUGGAAAAACAGUCUAGGGUUUCUUGUAUCUGUUACAGUUAGUUUAGAGUUUGUAUAGAUAGCCUGGAUCUAUGGGGUUAACUCUUUAAUGAUUUAGGAUGUAUGUGCAGCUCUCUCUCUCUUCUCCAUCUUUUAUUUGAGUCUGAGAGGUAGAGAUCUGGUAAUCUGUCUGUUGUUGGUUAUAAGCUGAUCUUGCCUAGGGUUUCGUUCUCUUUCCUUCUCCCUCCUUACCGCUUGCUUCGGAUUUACUGCGAUCUUGCCUUGUAUUUGUCUAGGUCUGCCCUGUUAACCUUCUUCUUAUUAUUGUUCUCGAUUCAGGAAAACAAAUCAAAGAAUCCUCCCCAGUUCUUUCCAGCACUAGCUACGACAAUAUCUUCUGUCAUUUACUUCCUUCACUGUUAAUUCUCGAGCUAACAAUAAUAAGAAUAGAAAAAGGGAUUCGGUGGUCUAUUUGCAACUAAUAUCUUUAUUUUUUGAGGAAGCUUUUGGAGGUGAAUCACGUGCCACAAUUAGAAGCUAGUAAUUUUACCAGUUUCUCGUAGAUCUGUCAUGAACGGCCAUUAACAAUUAUGCUGUUCCCUAGUUGAUCUAAUUUGUUAUUGGGAAUUAAUAAUAUGAGUUUGUGAUGUAUUCGAGUCUGAAAUAAGUGUAUUAUCUUGAGCUUUUAGUGACUCUCUAGCCCAUUCUGACUGUUUCGAUAGUUUGAUGCAAUAGCCAUUUUGAUUUGUUUUCACCGU
This is a long non-coding RNA of Mangifera indica (mango), 1017 nucleotides long. RefSeq lists it as uncharacterized. NCBI's taxonomy places the organism in Eukaryota, Viridiplantae, Streptophyta, Magnoliopsida, Sapindales, Anacardiaceae. The transcript has 2 exons. The record is from RefSeq and is a predicted model, not a curated record.